GCAUGAGUUUAGCGAGGAGAAGGACAAAGGACUGGAGUGGGAACCAUCUGCCCUAGAUUUCAAUCAUCACAGCCUGGCUGAGCUCUGUAUCUAUGGUUUUCGGGCAGAAGACAAAUUUGUGAGGUAUGCCAGAAACAUCAUGGAGGCAGCGGUGAACCUGGUGGCUGUAAACCUGUAUAAGAAUCCAGGGUGUGAGAAAUGCAAGCGCGGGCUUCCAAGUGGGUGGACGUGGACGGAGAUGCUGUUGAUUAGAGACAAAAUCAGCAAGGGCAUGUCGUCAGAUGUUGGGAUUCGCUUCCCGAGUUGACGGGCGACAAUUCAUAUGGAUCGGAGGAAGUACCAUCUCAAAAUACACAGGUUCAUUGUUGACGAUGAAUCAGUGCAUACAGCAGUAGCUUUGCAGCGUGAGUGUGUUGUUUUGUCUAAGAAAAAAACUUGCUGUCAGCGACAAUUAAUAUGAAUCGGAGGGAGUACUAAGUUGUACAAUAAUAUGAGUAGCCUUAACAGUAGUGUCAAGUAUUUUUUUUUUCAUUCUUCAUUCCUUGUUGGGUUAGCUGAAAUAGGAUGCACGAAAAAUAUGGUAGGGAAAAAAAUGAGGUACUGAAACAGGAUCCACGAAAAGACAAGUGAGAGCUUGUAUUGGUUGACCUGACAUAUAAGCUUAAUAAUGAGUUGCAAAAAUACACAUAUACUCCCUCCGUUCGGAAAUACUUGUCUCGGAAAUGGAUGUAUCUAGAACUGAAAUACAUCUAGAUACAUCCAUUUCUGCGACAAGUAAUUCCGAACGAAGGGAGUAUAAGCUUAAUGUGUUACAAAUACAGUAGUGAAAUUGGUAUAAGCACAAGUUGAAUACAAGCUUUUAUGACAAAUCUACAUUUCUCUACCUCCCAGGAGAAGAUUUAUCCAUUGUGGACUCAACAGUGACGGUGCUUUCUCCCUUUCGAGGGUAUUGUCGUGGAGCUUAGAUGUACUAGAGCUUUUAUGGAAAACUUGAUUGUUUAUUUAUUUUGGAAAAUGGAGAACUUGAUGUUGACAUAGGUAUGGUCUCAGUUGCUACCUACCUGGGCUGGACAUGCUUGAUUCCAAGUCGGUCGAUGAUCAUGGUUUGCCGAUGGAUCGAUCCAGCAGAGCAUAUAAAUAAGACUCUUUGGUUCUAUCUCUUGAAAAUGUGCGACCGCCCAGCAAAAUGAAGCACCAUGUCAGCAUGUGUAUUUUUUUGAGAAAUCUCGCCCACUUUAUUGAUUCAUAACAAUGUUCAUAGGUACAAGGUUUUGAUCAUGGGGUACUUAACCCCCAGGCAGCCAACUAUGCCGGCCAGGCCCAAGACCGCGACCAAAUUUGGCGAGAUUAUGAGGUUCGAAAUUAAACACCCUACGCUCAUGGCUAAAACUACAAGAAAUAAAAGCAUCUACCGUAUGAUAGCGCCAUGUAGUCCAGCAGAAUCAUGCUUUAUGUCCUUGAUGAUCUGUUUCCUUCUCCAGCCUCCUUUUCAUUGUUGUGUGUGUGUGUGUGAGAGAGAGAAGGAAAAAAGAAUUACAACACAGUACCCAUGGCUAAUCCUAUUUGUUGCUCUCUACGACGAGGUGUUGUUUAAUCACACGGAGAAUUGCACAACAGCACAAGUGGGAGUGAAUUCCAAUACAACUUAUGUUUAUAAGAAAUUAUUGAAUAGCCCUUACUUCAUAUAUUAAUUGAAAAAAACCUGACCCAAUUAGACAUAUAGAAGGAAUCCGGUUUUGCGAACCUUGUAGACAGCUUUGGUCCAUUUUUUUCCUUUUCUUGUUGUUUUAUUUACCAGAUUUCCUUUUUUUAAUUUUUUUCAUUGUCUGGAUUCCCCUGUUUUAUUUUUCAUUUAUUUAAAUGUUUGAAAAUUUAAAGAUUUUACUUGAAAGUUAAAAUUUAGAAUGUUCUGAAUAAAAAAAUGUCCAUGUUAAACAUAAUUACAAUAAAUGUUAAAAUAUGGAAGUUUAAAAAUCGUUGUCAUCGGUUGGGUGAUUUAAAUCACUUCCCUUAUAGUCUUAUAUGUAUCCAGAUCAAUCUAUAGAAUUCGAUUUGAUCUUCAAGCUAAUAUGGCAAUAGCCUUUUUAAGGAACUUUAAAAUUCAUACAAACAAAUUGUGACGGGGAGUCUACCGAAGCAAAACUCUUGAUAAAUGUAUGAAAAUUUAGAAAAUUGCCAUAGACUAAAAUCUUCAUUGUUUACAAAAAAAUGUUCGCAAAUUCCAAAAGUCUUCCCAAUUUUGAAAAAUAUUCGUGAAAUUACAAAAUAUGCAAAAAUUUGAAAAAUGUUAUUUCAAAAGUAAAUGAACUUGAAAAUGUGCGAAUUUAAAAAAAUUUCAUCAGUUUUUUAAAAAGUUCACAAAUUUUAAAGGUGUUAAGGAAUUUAAUAAUCUUCCUAAAUUUUAGAAAAUAUUUUUGAAUUUUAAAAACAUGUGGAAACUUGAAGUAUUCAUAGAGCAGAUUUACAAAUUCUUCAUAAAUUUACAGAGACAAUUAAGAAUUCUAGUAUUGACCCAAAAAAAAUUAUUCACAAUUUAGGGAAAUGUAAAUUUUAAAAAGUUUGCUAAUUUAAAUGAUUGUGUAUUGAUAUCAUAAUAUUUCCAAGUUUCAAAAAACUAUUUGCUAAUCUAAAUAAUAAUUAUCAAUUAAAAGGGAAAUUGGAAAAAUAGAUGAAAACUCCUGAAAACAAGAUAAAAAGCACAAAAAAAUAAGAAGAAAAUUAAUGCGAAAAGAUGGAAAAAUAGAUACGUUGGAGACGUAUCACCCACCCAAGUUCCUCCUCCGCCGCAUCUGAAACAAGAUCUGGAGCCGCGUCUGCCGUCCCUGGGAGCACCAGUGUCCGCGUCUGUCGCCGUCCCGCUGCUCGGGGAGCAUUGGCGUGGGCAGCCAUGGCUGCCGCCUCCUCGAGCUCAGUUUCCCGCUACAAGUUUUGUGCAACAACGGUGCUUCUACAUCCCCGGCAGCCAUGCUCGCCUCCCUCAUCCAUUGCUGCACUCGCUUACCCUUCCAUGGUCGUGCUAAUUUUGCAACAUGGGUCCUGUUGCAGAAAAUUAGAUGCGGCAGAGAUGUCAUUUAAAUUUUUACAGCAAGGGUAUUGUUGCAGAAAAUUAGACGCAACGGAAGAUGUUGAUGCAAUUUUUGCAACAAGGAUCUUGUUGCAGAAAAUUAAAAGCGGGAAAGAUGUUGCAGAAAAUUAGAUGCGUGAAAGAUGUUGCACAAAAUUAGACGCUUGAAAAAUGUUGUUGUAGACAAUUAGACACGGCGAGAGAUGUUGUUUGCAAUUUUUCUAAGGGUUUUGUUGCAGAAAACUAAAAAAGAAUAGGUUUUGCAACAUGGGUCUUGUUCCAGAAAAUUAUAGAAGAUGAUGUUUCGCAACAAGGCCUUGUUGCAGGAAAUCAGAGAAGACCAGAUCUUGCAACAAGAGCUUCGUUGCAUGAAACUAGAGAGGAGGAUUGAACGGCUCGCGUCACGCAUCGAAUGGCUCGCGAGAUGCUUAUUUCUGCAACUCGACCGUUGUUUCAGGAAUUAAUGGGUCGAGGGAGGAGACCAAGCCGUGCACCAGAAGUAGAUCAGACGGCUGUACGCGUGUACAUCGAAUGGCCGUUGAGGUGGCGGAUAUUUCAUACGGAUUACCCGGCGGACGCGUAGCGUCUCCCCUUAAAAUAAGUGUCUUAAGUUAAGAUGUACUAUGAAACUUGUGACACAUGGACUACUUAUACAAAAUCUAAUCGGAAUAGAUAGGUUAAUAAAAAUAAUUUACCAAAAUUUUAGCCAAGGUAAUAAACACUUAAACCCAAACGAGGUGUCUCCAGAGGGAUAUAUGAUUUUUGGCACAUGAAGCAGGUCGUGUCUCUUUUCUCGCUAGGUGCAACGCACGGGCAUUUGUACUAGUCUGUCUUCUAUACUACUAUUACUAGUAAUUUGUACGUGCUUUGCACGUUAGAUUAUUAUGUGUGACCACAAUACUAAAUCAUGUAAAUUAAAAAUAGAAUAUUCUGUGCUAUAAUAAAAUGGUAACUUCUGGAAUUUUUUUACAAUUCGUCUUGAAUCACGGUAGCACAACAGAUUUCUAUAUGAAGAAUGCUUUGAAAAACAUACUUUUAUUCCAAAAGAAAUGUUAUUGACGUGUUUGUGAAAUCUUUUAGCUUUUUCAUGUUCCACCUUGAAAAUACAAAUAAAGUUAGUUUGAUGUUAAUUUUCACCAUUUCAAACAGUAAACUUUAAAUAACUUAACAUCCGAUGAAGAAAAAUAAAUUAAAAUCUAAUUUAAAUUUUCUAUAAGUUGUUUGAAUAUUUCUCUUAACAAACAGCAAUACUCGUUUCGUUCCAUAAUAUAGUGCGUAAAGAUUUUUUGAAAAGUCAAUCCUCACAAACUUUGACCAAGUUUGUAAAGAAAAACAUUUACAUCUAGAAUUCCAAGCAUAUAUCAUUAGCUUCAUCGUAAGAUGUAUUCCAUAUUUUUGGUAUUGUAGAUAUAAAUAGUUUUCUCUAUAAACUUGGUCAAAGUUUAAAAAAUUUGACUUUUCAAAAAACUAUACACGCUCCAUUAUGAAAUAUAUCCUUAUUCCACUAAGGAUAAUUUUGACCGUUGUCCAGUGAUCUACUCCUAGAUCACUAUUGUACUCCCUUGCUAAACACAGUGUAGGGUAUACAAUAGAUCUGGUACACAGCAUGGCAUACUUUAUAGAACCAAUGGCCAAGGCAUAGGGAAUGACUUUCAUUCUCUUUCUAUCUUCUGCCGUGGUCGGGUUUCGAGUCUUACUCAAUUUCACACCUUGUAACACAGGCAAGAACUAUUUCUUUGACUGUUCCAUUUAGAACUACUUCAAAAUCUUGUCAAGGUAUGUACUCAUUGAAAAAACUUAUCAAGCGUCUUGAUCUAUCUCUAUAGAUCUUGAUGCUCAAUAUGUAAGCAGCUUCAUCGAGGUUUUUCUUUGAAAAACUCCUUUCAAACACUCCUUUAUGCUUUGCAGAAUAAUUCUACAUUAUUUUUGAUCAACAAUAUGUCAUUCACAUAUACUUAUCAGAAAUGGUGUAGUGCUCCCACUCACUUUCUUGUAAAUACAGGCUUCACCGCAAGUCUGUAUAAAACUAUAUGCUUUGAUCAACUUAUCAAAGCGUAUAUUCCAACUCCGAGAUGCUUGCACCAGUCCAUAGAUGGAUCGCUGGAGCUUGCAUAUUUUGUUAGCACAUUUAGGAUUGACAAAACCUUCUGGUUGCAUCAUAUACAACUCUUCUUUAAUAAAUCCAUUAAGAAUGCAGUUUUGUUUAUCCAUUUGCCAGAUUUUAUCAAAUGCGGCAAUUGCUAACAUGAUUCGGACAGACUUAAGCAUAGAUACGAGUGAGAAACUCUCAUCAUAGUCAACACCUUGAACUUGCCGAAAACCUUUUGCGACAAUUCUAGCUUUGUAGAUAGUAACACUACUAUCAGCGUCCGUCUUCCUUCUGAAGAUCCAUUUAAUCUCAAUGGCUCGCCGAUCAUUGGACAAGUCAAUCAAAGUCCAUACUUUGUUCUCAUACAUGGAUCUCAUCUCAUAUUUCAUGGCCUCAAGCCAUUUCGCGGAAUCUGGGCUCAUCAUCGCUUCCUCAUAGUUCAUAGGUUCGUCAUGGUCAAGUAACAUGACCUCCAGAACAGGAUUACCGUACCACUCUAGUGCGGAUCUCACUCUGGUCUACCUACGAGGUUCGGUAGUAACUUGAUCUGAAGUUACAUGAUCAUCAUCAUUAGCUUCCUCACUAAUUGGUAUAGUAGUCACAUGAAUAGAUUUCUGUGAUGAACUACUUUCUAAUAAGGGAGCAAGUACAGUUACCUCAUUAAGUUCUACUUUCCUCCCACUCACUUCUUUCGAGAGAAACUCCUUCUCUAGAAAGGAUCCAUUCUUAGCAAAGAAUAUCUUGCCUUCGGAUCUGUGAUAGAAGGUGUACCCAAUAGUAACUUUUUGGGUAUCCUAUGAAGACGCACCUUUCCGAUUUGGGUUUGAGCUUAUCAGGAUGAAACUUUUUCUUAUAAGCAUCGCAACCCCAAACUUUAAGAAACGACAACUUUGGUUUCUUGCCAAACCACAGUUCAUACAGUGUCGUCUCAACGGAUUUAGAUGGUGCCCUUUUUUCGUGAAUGCAGCUGUCUCUAAUGCAUAACCCCAAAACUAUAGUGGUAAAUCGGUAAGAAACAUCGUAGAUUGCACUAUAUCCAAUAAAGUACGGUUAUGACGUUCGAACACACCAUUAUGCUGUGGUGUUCCAGGUGGCAUGAAUUUGUGAAACUAUUCCACAUAGUUUUAAUUGAAGACCAAACUCGUAACUCAAAUAUUUGUCUCCGUGAUCAGAUCGUAGAAACCUUAUUUUUCUUGUUAUGAUGAUUUUCCACUUCACUCUGAAAUUCUUUGAACUUUUCAAAUGUUUCAGACUUAUGUUUCAUCAAGCAGAUAUACCCAUAUCUGCUUAAAUCAUAUGUGAAGGUCAGAAAAUAAUGAUACCCGCCGCGAGCUUCAACACUCAUCAGAUCGCAUACAUCAGUAUGUAUUAUUUCCAAUAAGUCAGUUGCUCACUCCAUUGUUCCGGAGAACGGAGUCUUUAGUCAUCUUGCCCAUAAGGCAUGGUUCGCAAGCACCAAGUGAUUCAUAAUCAAGUGAUUCCAAAAUCCCAUCAGCAUGGAGUUUCUUCAUGUGCUUUACACCAAUAUGACCUAAACGGCAGUGCCACAAAUAAGUUGCACUAUCAUUAUUAACUUCGCAUCUUUUGGUUUCAAUAUUAUGAAUAUGUGUAUCACUAUGAUCGAGAUCCAACGAACUUGUUUCAUUGGGUGUAUGACCAUCGAAGGUUUUAUUCAUGUAAACAGAACAACAAUUAUUCUCUGACUUUAAUGAAUAUCCGUAUUGCAAUAAAUAUGAUCAAAUCAUAUUCAUGCUCAACGCAAAAACCAAAUAACAUUUAUUUAGGUUCAACACUAAUCCCGAAAGUAUAGGGGAGUGUGCGAUGAUGAUCAUAUCAAUCUUGGAACUACUUCCAACACACAUCGUCACUUCACCCUUAACUAGUCUCUAUUUAUUCUGCAACUCCUGUUUCGAGUUACUACUCUUAGCAACUGAACCAGUACCAAAUACCGAGGGGUUGCUAUAAACACUAGUAAAGUACACAUCAAUAACAUGUAUAUCAAAUAUACCUUUGUUCACUUUGCCAUCCUUCUUAUCCGCCAAAUACUUGGGGUGGUUCCGCUUCUAGUGACCAGUCCCUUUGCAGUAUAAGCACUUAGUCUCAGGCUUAGGUCCAGACUUGGGCUUCUUCACUUGAGCAGCAACUUGCUUGCUGUUCUUCUUGAAGUUCCCUUCUAUCCCUUUGCCCUUUUCUUGAAACUAGUGGUCUUGUUAACCAUCAACACUUGAUGUUUUUCUUGAUUUCUACCUUCGUUGAUUUCAGCAUCACGAAGAGCUUGGGAAUUACUUUCGUCAUCCCUUGCAUAUCAUAGUUCAUCACAAAGUUCUACUAACUUGGUGAUGGUGACUAGAGAAUUCUGUCAAUCACUAUUUUAUCUGGAAGAUUAACUCCCACUUGAUUCAAGCGAUUGUAGUACCCAGACUAUCUGAGCACAUGCUCACUAGUUGAGCGAUUCUCCUCCAUCUUUUAGCUAUAGAACUUGUUGGAGACUUCAUAUCUCUCAACUCGGGUAUUUGCUUGAAAUAUUAACUUCAAUUCCUGGAACAUCUCAUAUGGUCCAUGACGUUCAAAACGUCUUUGAAGUCCCGAUUCUAAGUCGUUAAGCAUGGUGCACUAAACUAUCAAGUAGUCAUCAUACCGAGCGUUUGUCAAAAACGUUCAUAACGUCUGCAUCUGCUCUUGCAAUAGGUCUGUCACCUAGCGGUGCAUCAAGGACAUAACUUUUUUGUGCAGCAAUGAGGAUAAACCUCAGAUCACGGAUCCAAUCUGCAUCUUUGCUACUAACAUCUUUCAACUUAGUUUUCUCUAGGAACAUAUCAAAAUUAAACGGGGAGCAACAUCGUGAGCUAUUGAUCUACAACAUAGAUAUGCUAAUACUACCAGGACUAAGUUCAUGAUAAAUUAAAGUUCAAUUAAUCAUAUUACUUAAAAACUCCCACUUAGAUAGACAUCCCUCUAAUCGUCUAAGUGAUCACGUGAUCCAAAUCAACUAAACCAUAACCGAUCAUCACGUGAAAUGGAGUAGUUUUCAAUGGUGAACAUCACUAUGUUGAUCAUAUCUUCUAUAUGAUUCAUGCUCGACCUUUCGGUCUUGGUAUUCCGAGGCCAUAUCUGCAUAUGCUAGGCUCGUCAAGUUUAACCUGAGUAUUCCGUGUGUGCAAAACUGGCUUGCACCCGUUGUAGAUGGACGUAGAGCUUAUCACACCCGAUCAUCACGUGGUGUCUGGGCACGACGAACUUUGGCAACGGUGCAUACUCAGGGAGAACACUUUUAUCUUGAAAUUUAGUGAGAGAUCAUCUUAUAAACCUACCGUCGAACUAAGCAAAAUAAGAUGCAUAAAAGAUAAACAUCACAUGCAAUCAAAAUAUGUGACAUGAUAUGGCCAUGAUCAUCUUGCGCCUUUGAUCUCCAUCUCCAAAGUACUGUCAUGAUCUCUAUUGUCACCGGCAUGACACCAUGAUCUCCAUCAUCUUGAUCUAUAUCAAUGUGUCGUCACGUGGUCGUCUCGCCAACUAUUGCUCUUGCAACUAUUGCUAUCGCAUAGCAAUAAAGUAAAGCAAUUAUUUGGCGCUUGCAUCUUAUGCAAUAAUGAGACAACCAUAAGGCUUCAGCCAGUUGCCGAUAACUUCAACAAAACAUGAUCAUCUCAUACAACAACUUAUAUCUCAUCAUGUCUUGACCAUAUCACAUCACAACAUGCCCUGCAAAAACAAGUUAGACGUCCUCUACUUUGUUGUUGCAAGUUUUACGUGGCUGCUACGGGCUUAGCAAGAACCGUUCUUACCUACGCAUCAAAACCACAACGAUAGUUUGUCAAGUUGGUGUUGUUUUAACCUUCGCAAGGACCGGGCGUAGCCACACUCGGUUCAACUAAAGUUGGAGAAACUGACACCCGCCAGCCACCUGUGUGCAAAGCACGUCGGUAGAACCAGUCUCGCGUAAGCGUACGCGUAAUGUCGGUCCGGGCCGCUUCAUCCAACAAUACCGCCGAACCGAAGUAUUACAUGCUGGUAAGCAGUAUGACUUAUAUCGCCCACAACUCACUUGUGUUCUACUCGUGCAUAUAACAUCAACACAUAAAACCUAGGCUCUGAUACCACUGUUAGGGAACGUAGUAAUUUCAAAAAUUUCCCUACGCACAUGCAAGAUCAUGGUGAUGCAUAGCAACGAGAGGGGAGAGUGUAGUCUACGUACCCUCGUAUACCGAAAGCGGAAGCAUUAUGACAACGCGGUUGAUGUAGUCGUAUGUCUUCAUGGCCCGACCGAUCAAGCACCAAAACUACGGCACCUCCGAGUUCUAGCACACGUUCAGCUCGAUGACGAUCCCCGGACUCCGAUCUAGCAAAGUGUCGGGGAAGAUUUCUGUCAGCACGACGGCGUGGUGACGAUCUUGAUGUUCUACCGUCGCAAGGCUUUGCCUAAGCACCGCUACAAUAUUAUCGAGGAUUAUGGUGGAGGGGGGCACCGCACACGGCUAAGAGAACGAUCACGAAGAUCAACUUGUGUGUCUAUGGGGUGCCCCCUGCCCCCGUAUAUAAAGGAGUGGAGGAGGGGAAGGCCGGCCCUCUCUAUGGCGCGCCCUAGGAGUGUCCUACUCCCACCGGGAGUAGGAUUCCCCCUUUCCUAGUCCAACUAGGAGUCCUUCCAAGUAGUAGGAGUAGGAGACAAGGAAGGGGAAGAGGGAAGAGAAGCAAGGAGGGGGCGCCGCCCCUCCCCUUAGUCCAAUUCGGACUAGUCAAUGGGGGGCGCGUGGCCUGCCUCUCCCUCUCCCCUAAAGUCCAAUAAGGCCCAUAUACUUCUUCCCCCGUAUUCCCGUAACUCCCCGGUACUCCAAAAAAUACCCGAACCACUCGGAACCUUUCCGAUGUCCGAAUAUAGUCGUUCAAUAUAUCGAUCUUUACGUCUCGACCAUUUCGAGACUCCUCGUCAUGUCCCCGAUCUCAUUCGGGACUCCGAGCUCCUUCGGUACAUCAAAACUCAUAAACUCAUAAUAUAACUAUCAUUGAAACCUUAAGCGUGCGGACCCUACGGGUUCGAGAACAAUGUAGACAUGAUCGAGACACGUCUCCGGUCAAUAACCAAUAGCGUAACCUGAAUGCUCAUAUUGGCUCCUACAUAUUCUAUGAAGAUCUUUAUCGGUCAGACCGCAUAACAACAUACGUUGUUCCCUUUGUCAUCGGUAUGUUACUUGCCCGAGAUUCGAUCAUCGGUAUCUCAAUACCUAGUUUAAUCUCGUUACUGUCAAGUCUCUUUACUCGUUCCGUAAUACAUCAUCUCGCAACUAACUCAUUAGUUGCAUUGCUUGCAAGGCUUAAGUGAUGUGCAUUACCGAGAGGGCCCAGAGAUACCUCUCCGACAUUCGGAGUGACAAAUCAUAAUCUUGAAAUACACCAACCCAACAAGUAACUUCAGAGACACCUGUAGAGCACCUUUAUAAUCACCCAGUUACGUUGUGACGUUUGGUAGUGUUCCUCUGGUAAACGGGAGUUUCAUAAUCUCAUAGUCAUAGGAACAUGUAUAAGUCAUGAAGAAAGCAAUAGCAACAUACUAAACGAUUGAGUGCUAAGCUAACGGAAUGGGUCAUGUCAAUCACAUCAUUCUCCUAAUGAUGUGAUCCCGUUAAUCAAAUGACAACUCAUGUCUAUGGCUAGGAAACUUAACCAUCUUUGAUCAACGAGCUAGUCAAGUAGAGGCAUACUAGUGACACUCUGUUUGUCUAUGUAUUCACACAUGUAUUAUGUUUCCGGUUAAUACAAUUCUAGCAUGAAUAAUAAACAUUUAUCAUGAAAUAAGAAAAUAAAUAAUAACUUUAUUAUUGCCUCUAAGGCAUAUUUUCUUCAAAAGCCUCCUCAAAGUCAAUUUUGCCCGCAAGGAAGAGUCCUUCUCGGACUUCCAGGACCAGACGCCAUGGUCCUUGGCGUCUGGCCCAGGCGCCAUGGGCCUUGGUGUCUGGCCCAGGGCCAGACGCCAGGGUCUCCGGCGUAUUGCCCCCUGGCCUCCGCAAAACUCCUUUUGCUCCGACCUAAAGCCCAGUGGGCAUCACCCCUUGGCUGAAUCAUAUCAUUCUAUAUAUCCAUCUUUACCUCUGGACCAUUCCGGAGCUCCUCGUCAUGUCCGUGAUCUCAUCUGGGACUCCGAACAACAUACAGUCACCAACAUACAUAACUCGUAUAGUACUAUAUCAUCAGCGAACGUUAAGCGUGUGGACCCUACGGGUUCAAGAACUAUGUAGACAUGACCGAGACACCUCUCUGGUCAAUAACCAAUAGCAGAACCUAGAUGCCCAUAUUGGCCCCCACAUAUUCUACGAAGAUCUUUAUCGGUCGAACCUUAUGACAACAUACGUAAUUCCCUUUGUCAUUGGUAUGUUACUUGCCCGAGAUUCGAUCGUCGGUAUCCUCAUACCUAGUUCAAUCUCGUUACCGGCAAGUCUCUUUACUUGUUCUGUAAUGCAUCAUCCCACAACUAACUCAUUAGUCACAUUGCUUGCAAGGCUUAUAGUGAUGUGCAUUAUCGAGAGGGCCCAGAGAUACCUCUCUGAUACUCGGAGUGACAAAUCCUAAUCUCGAUCUAUGCCAACCCAACAAACACCUUCGGAGACACCUAUAGAGCAUCUUUAUAAUCACCCAGUUACGUUGUGACGUUUGAUAGCACACAAGGUGUUCCUCGGUAUUCGGGAGUUGCAUAAUCUCAUAGUCAAAGGAAUAUGUAUAAGUCAUGAAGAAAGCAAUAGCAAUAAAACUUAACAAUCAUUAUGCUAAGCUAAGGGAUGGGUCUUGUCCAUCACAUCAUUCUCCUAAUUAUGUGAUCAUGUUCAUCAAAUGAUAACACAUGUCUAUGGUUAGGAAACUUAACCAUCUUUGAUUAACGGGCUAGUCAAGUAGAGGCAUACUAGGGACACUUUGUUUUGUCUAUGUAUUCACACAUGUAUCAAGUUUUCGGCUAAUACAAUUCUAGCAUGAAUAAUAAACAUUUAUCAUGAUAUAAGGAAAUAUAAAAUAACAACUUUAUUAUUGCCUCUAGGGCAUAUUUCCUUCAAGGGCUUGAUCCCUAGUAUCCACUAUGUCCUGAGAUUGAUGUUGCUAUGACUUUGCUAUGCUUAAUGCUUGUCACUAGGGCCUGAGUGCCAUGAUUUCAGAUCUGAACCGUUUAUGUUUUCACCAUUAUAUCUAUAUUCUAGAUCCGAUCUUGCAAGCCAUAUGCACCUAUUACAUGUUAUGAUCCGUAAACACCAAGGUGACAGUAAUUGGGAUACUUUCCGGUGAUGACCGUAGUUUGAGGAGUUCAUCUAUUCACUAUGUGUUAAUGCUUUUUUCCGGUUCUCUACUAAAAGAAGGCCUUAAUAUCACUUAGUUUCCUUAUGGACCCCGCUACCACGGGAGGGUUGGACAAAAGAUGUCAUACAAGUUCUUUUACGUAAGCAUGUAUGACUAUUUAUGGAAUACAUGCCUACAUUAUAUUUAUGAACUGGAGCUAGUUCUGUGUCGCCCUAGGUUAAGACUGUUAUUUGAUGAAUAUCAUCCAACGAAUUCACUGAUCUAAUGCCUACGAGUUUUUCUUGUCCAACUUCAACUAAUUUUCUCAAGUUUGAAAAUAAUUAAUGGGUACAUCAUAGAAGAUGUCCAAGAUAAUAUAUUUGUAUGUGAAAGUUCUUCUCUUGCUCAUAGUAAUCAUUCAUGAAUUGCUUAUAUGACCAAUAUUGUGAUUGUCAAGCUUCAAUAGAUUUCACUUUCUAAACCCAAUGUGAAACUACUAUUAGGGACAGAAAUCACAUAUUUGACAUGAGGGCGAAAUCAAAUCACAAACUGACCUGCUCUCGAAAAAAUUUCACUCUGCUGACCCUUUAGUGUGGCGCCUGACAGCUAGGCGUCGCACACUACUAUGCAGCGCCCUUCCCUUGGGCGUCGCACAUCCAGCCAGCGUGGCAGCCCAGGUCCAGUUGCGGCCCCACAGACAGCACUGCAGCGCCUAAGGCUUGGGCGCCACACUGUGUAAAGUGCAGCGCCUAUCGCUUGGGCGCUGCACAUUGACUUAAGCCGCAUAGGGCCAGCCCCUCCCAGGUAGUUCUUCCCCCUCUGAGGAAGUUGCUCUCUGUAAAGAGAGCGGCGGUGACGGCGCCCCCUUCGGAUCCCCCCCCCNNNNNNNNNNNNNNNNNNNNNNNNNNNNNNNNNNNNNNNNNNNNNNNNNNNNNNNNNNNNNNNNNNNNNNNNNNNNNNNNNNNNNNNNNNNNNNNNNNNNNNNNNNNNNNNNNNNNNNNNNNNNNNNNNNNNNNNNNNNNNNNNNNNNNNNNNNNNNNNNNNNNNNNNNNNNNNNNNNNNNNNNNNNNNNNNNNNNNNNNNNNNNNNNNNNNNNNNNNNNNNNNNNNNNNNNNNNNNNNNNNNNNNNNNNNNNNNNNNNNNNNNNNNNNNNNNNNNNNNNNNNNNNNNNNNNNNNNNNNNNNNNNNNNNNNNNNNNNNNNNNNCCAAUCCCUCCUACUAGGUAAACUCCUCUGUUUCCCUUUCUUUUCCUCCGUAAAUGCGUUGCAAUUUUAGGGAUUUGCCCAAGAUUAGGUGGAACCUUUGAUUUGCUUGGUUUGGAUCUUUGUUUGCCCAAGAUUAGGUGGAACCUUUGGUCCCCCCCGCCCCCACACUAUAUGAUUCUUGUUAGUGAAACCUAGAUUGCAAUUUUUUUAGAUAUAUAUGAGAUGCCUAGUUUCGUAGAUAAUUAUGAGAUGUUGAGUUUUGUAGCUAUAUGUGAGAUGUUGAGUUUUUUUAGAUAUAUAUUAAAUAUUGAGUUUAUUUGAAAUAUGAGAUGUUGAUUUACUUGAACACAUAUGACAUACUAGAUAUAUAUGAGAAUUUACAAUCAUUUAUUCAUUGUGUGAGGAGAUGUUGAUAUUCUUGUAGAUGAAUACAUAUGAGAUGUUUAGAUGAACACAUAUGAAAUGUUGAGUGUUUACCGAUAUUUGAGAUGAACUCAUAUAUGUUUAUUGUUUGAAAUUUGUAAGGAUGGUUUGGCUUCUCGACGAUGUCUACGACACGAAACACCGGGCCUACAUGACGCGCGAGAAGGAGAUGGUAAUAACGAGUAAUCUAAAUAUUUUGCAAAUUUGCCUUAAGUUGAAAUUUGCAUGCCCUAAGAUUUGUCAUUACUUGUUUUUUGCAGAAGCUUGUUUGAAGAUUCGGUAUCACGGGGUCUCUGGUCCUGCCAUGCCUUACGAUGAGCGGUACACACCGUACAUCAAGCAGGCAGGACUACUCCCAUGGAUUCAGUUGGUCAGCCGGUCCACGCCGAAUCUGAACGCUCCACUGGUGUCCGCUCUUGCUGAUCGGUGGAGGCCGGAGACACACAGUUUCCAUCUUCGGACUGGGGAGAUGACCGUGAUGCUCGAGGAUGUCUCGUUGAUCACCGGUCUUGCUAUCGACGGGAUGUCUCUCUGUAUGAGCAUUGAUUCUGAUGGGUGGCGCGAGCAGAUGAUUUCUCUUAUCGGUAUGGCUCCUACCGAGGCUGAGGCUGAUGUAGAGGAGGGAGAAGAGAAUAAGAAGAGGGAAAGGAAAGCAGCCGGAGCUGCUUUCACGUGGAUUCAAAAUAACUUUGCGACGUGCCCUCCGGAUGCCACUGAUGAUGUGAUCCAGACACAUGCUCGUGUCUACAUGUGGUACGUUGUGUCGAGGACUUCGUUUCCUGACUCCACUGGCAAGAACGCUCCAUGGAUGUGGCUGAAGGCAUUGACCAUCUUCGAUAGCAAAUGGAGCUGGGGUUCAUCGACUCUUGCCUACUUGUACCGACAGGUAGUUGGUCUGUUUUGUGAUCAACUCAUUUCUUCAUUAGCAAUGCAAGCUUGCUGUCAAGUUAACAUUGUUUUUCUUUCAUAUGCAGCUAGACGAUGCGUGUUGCAGGAUCACAUAUAGUGCAGGCAUUGGUGGUAAUAUGCUUCUACUUUCUGUAUGGAGCUGGGAGCGUCUGCCUGUUGGACGCCCAAAGAGCGUCAGGUUUAAUCCUUGGUAUGAAGAUGAAGAUGACGAAUUACGGCGCCCCACUUGGGCUUACAAGUGGGAUGUGGUUUCCGAGAUGACGAACGAUGUCAAUCUCAUGUACCAAAAGUACGUUGCCAAGUUAGACACGAUUACUGUUGGGGAACGUAGUAAUUUCAAAAAUUUCCUACGCACACACAAGAUCAUGGUGAUGCAUAGCAAUGAGAGGGGAGAGUGUUGUCUACGUACCCUCGUAGACCGAAGCGGAAGCGUUGACGCAACGUAGAGGAAGUAGUCGUACAUCUUCCCGGUCCAACCGAUCCAAGCACCGUUACUCCGGCACCUCCGAGUUCUUGACACACGUACAGCUCGAUGACGCGCCCCGGGCUCCGAUCCAGCAAAGCUUCGGGGAGGAGUUCCGUCAGCACGACGGCGUGGUGACGAUAUUGAUGUUCAACCUUCGCAGGGCUUCGCCUAAGCACUGCUACAAUAUGACCGAGGUGUAAUAUCGUGGAGGGGGGCACCGCACACGGCCAAGGAACGAUCACGAAGAUCAACUUGUGUGUCCAUGGGGUGCGCCCUGCCCCCGUAUUUUAAGGAGUGGAGGAGGAGAGGGCCGGCCCUCUCUAUGGCGCGCCCUAGGGGAGUCCUACUCCCACCGGGAGUAGGAUUCCCCCUUUCCUAGUCCAACUAGGAGUCCUUCCAUGUAGUGGGAGUAGGAGACAAGGAAGGGGAAGGGAGAAGGGAAGGAAGGAGGGGGCGCAGCCCCUCCCCCUAGUCCAAUUCGGACUAGGCCUUGGGGGGCGCGCGGCCUGCCCUAGGCAGCCCAUCUCUCUUUCCCGUAUGGCCCAAUAAGGCCCAAUACUUCUCCCCCGUAUUUCCGUAACUCCCCGGUACUCCGAAAAAUACCCGAACCACUCAGAACCUUUCCGAUGUCCGAAUAUAGUCGUCCAAUAUAUCGAUCUUUACGUAUCGACCAUUUCGAGACUCCUCGUCAUGUCCACAGUCCCAUCCGGGACUCCGAACUCCUUCGGUACAUCAAAACUCAUAAACUCAUAAUAUAACUGUCAUCGAAACCUUAAGCGUGCGGACCCUACGGUUCGAGAACAAUGUAGACAUGACCGAGACAUGUCUCCGGUCAAUAACCAAUAGCGGAACCUGGAUGCUCAUAUUGGCUCCUACAUAUUCUACGAAGAUCUUUAUCGGUCACACCGCAUAACAACAUACGUUGUUCCCUUUGUCAUCGGUAUGUUACUUGCCCGAGAUUCGAUCGUCGGUAUCUCAAUACCUAGUUCAAUCUCGUUACCGGCAAGUCUCUUUACUCGUUCUGUAAUACAUCAUCUCGCAACUAACUCAUUAGUUGCAAUGCUUGCAAGGCUUAAGUGAUGUGCAUUACCGAGAGGGCCCAGAGAUACCUCUCCGACAUUCGGAGUGACAAAUCCUAAUAUUGAAAUACGCCAACCCAACAAGUACCUUCGGAGACACCUGUAGAGCACCUUUAUAAUCACCCAGUUACGUUGUGACGUUUGGUAGCACACAAAGUGUUCCUCCGGUAAACGGGAGUUGCAUAAUCUCAUAGUCAUAGGAACAUGUAUAAGUCAUGAAGAAAGCAAUAGCAACAUACUUAAACGAUCGAGUGCUAAGCUAACGAAUGGGUCAUGUCAAUCACAUCAUUCUCCUAAUGAUGUGAUCCCAUUAAUCAAAUGACAACGCAUGUCUAUGGCUAGGAAACUUAACCAUGUUUGAUCAACGAGGUAGUCAAGUAGAGGCAUACUAGUGACACUCUGUUUGUCUAUGUAUUCACACAUGUAUUAUGUUUUCGGUUAAUACAAUUCUAGCAUAAAUAAUAAACAUUUAUCAUGAAAUAAGGAAAUAAAUAAUAACUUUAUUAUUGCCUCUAGGGCAUAUUUCCUUCAGUCUCCCACUUGCACUAGAGUCAAUAAUCUAGUUCACAUCGCCAUGUGAUUUAACAGCAAUAGUUCACAUCACCAUGUGAUUAACACCCAUAGUUCACAUCGAUAUGUGACCAACACCCAAAGGGUUUACUAGAGUCAAUAAUCUAGUUCACAUCGCUAUGUGAUUAACACCCAAAGAGUACUAAGGUGUGAUCAUGUUUUGUUUGUGAGAGAAGUUUAGUCAACGGGUCUGCCACAUUCAGAUCCAUAUGUAUUUUUGCAAAUUUCUAUGUCAACAAUGCUCUGCAAGGAGCUACUGUAGCUAAUUGCUCCCACUUUCAAUAUGUAUCCAGAUUGAGACUUAGAGUCAUCUAGAUCAGUGUCAAAAUUUGCAUCGACGUAACCCUUUACGACGAACCUUUUGUCUCCUCCAUAAUCGAGAAAUAUAUCCUUAUUCCACUAAGGAUAAUUUUGACCGCUGUCCAGUGAUCUACUCCUAGAUCACUAUUGUACUCCCUUGCUAAACACAGUGUAGGGUAUACAAUAGAUCUGGUACACAGCAUGGCAUACUUUAUAGAACCUAUGGCCAACGCAUAGGGAAUGACUUUCAUUCUCUUUCUAUCUUCUACGGUGGUCGGGUUUUGAGUCUUACUCAAUUUCACACCUUGUAACACAGGCAAGAACUCUUUCUUUGACUGUUCCAUUUUGAACUACUUCAAAAACUUGUCAAGGUAUGUACUCAUUGAAAACUUAUCAAGUGUCUUGAUCUAUCUCUAUAGAUCUUGAUGCUUAAUAUGUAAGCAGCUUCACCGAGGUUCUUCUUUGAAAAACUCCUUUCAAAUACUCCUUUAUGCUUUGCAGAAUAAUUCUACAUUAUUUCCGAUCAACAAUAUGUCAUUUACAUAUACUUAUCAGAAAUGUUGUAGUGCUCCCACUCACUUUCUUGUAAAUACAGGCUUCACCGCAAGUCUGUAUAAAACUAUAUGCUUUGAUUAACUUAUCAAAGCGUAUAUUCCAACUUCGACAUGCUUGCACCAGUCCAUAGAUGGAUCGCUGGAGCUUGCAUAUUUUGUUAACACCUUUAGGAUCGACAAAACCUUCUAGUUGCAUCGUAUACAACUCUUCUUUAAUAAAUCCAUUAAGGAAUGCAGUUUUGUUUAUCCAUUUGCCGGAUUUCAUAAAAUGCGGCAAUUGCUAACAUGAUUCGGACAGACUUAAGCAUAGAUACGAGUGAGAAACUCUCAUCGUAGUCAACACCUUGAACUUGUCAAAAACUUUUUGCGACAAUUCUAGAUUUGUAGAUAGUAACACUACUAUCAGCGUCUGUCUUCCUCUUGAAGAUCCAUUUAUUUUCUAUGGCUUGCCGAUCAUCGGGCAAAUCCAUCAAAGUCCAUACUUUGUUCUCAUACAUGGAUCCCAACUCAGAUUUCAUGGCCUCAAACCAUUUUGUGGAAUCUGGGCUCAUCAUCGCUUCCUCAUAGUUCGCAAGUUCAUCAUGGUCUAGUAACAUGACUUCCAGAACAGGAUUACCGUACCACUCUGGUGCGGAUCUCACUCUGGUUUACCUACGAGAUUCGGUAGUAACUUGAUCUGAAGUUACAUGAUCAUCAUCAUUAGCUUCCUCACUAAUUGGUGUAGUAGUCACAGGAACAGAUUUAUGUGAUGAACUACUUUCCAAUAAGGGAGAAGGUACAAUUACCUUAUCAAGUUCUACUUUCCUCCCACUCACUUCUUUCGAGAGAAACUCCUUCUCUAGAAAGGAUCCAUUCUUAGCAACGAAUGUCUUGCCUUUGGAUCUGUGAUAGAAGGUGUACCCAACUAACUCUUUGGGUAUCCUAUGAGGGACAUUUACAUCUAUGCCCCUAACUCGAACCCACUACUCAUAUUUGCCCCUAAUUUUGAAGCAUGCUCAAAUUUGCCCCUCCGCCGUUAAGUCACUACUCAGAAAUGCCCUUCCGUACAGUACUGUAGCACUUUCCGUCCAAUGCUGUAGCACUUUCCAUCUGCUACAGUACACAUGGGCCUUUGACGGUCAAAGGCCUUUGACUGGACGGAAGGGCAUUUCUGAGUAGUGACUUAACGACAGAGGGGCAAAUUUGAGCAUGCUUUGAAAUUAGGGGCAAAUCUGAGUAGGUGGUUCGAGUUAGGGGCAAAAAUGCAAAUGGCCCAUCCUAUGAAGACACAUUUCUCCGAUUUGGGUUUGAGCUUAUCAUGUUGAAACUUUUUCACAUAAGCAUCGCAAUCCCAAACUUUAAGAAACGACAACUUAGGUUUCUUGCCAAACCAUAGUUCAUACGGUGUCGUCUCAACGGAUUUUGAUGGUGCCCUAUUUAACGUGAAUGCAGCUGUCUCUAAUGCAUGACCCCAAAACGAUAGUGGUAAAUCGGUAAGAAACAUCAUAGAUUGUACUAUAUCCAAUAAAGUACGAUUAUGACGUUCGGACACACCAUUAUGCUGUGGUGUUCCAGGUGGCAUGAGUUUGUGAAACUAUUCCACAUUGUUUUAAUUGAAGGCCAAACUCAUAACUCAAAUAUUUGUCUCCGCGAUCAGAUCGUAGAAACUUUAUUUUCUUGUCACGAUGAUUUUCCACUUCACUCUGAAAAUUCUUUGAACUUUUCAAAUGUUUUAGACUUAUGUUUCAUCAAGUAGAUAUACUCAUAUCUGCUCAAAUCAUCUGUGAAGGUUAGAAAAUAAUGAUACCUGCUGCAAGCCUUAAUAUUCAUCGGACCACAUACAUCAGUAUGUAUGAUUUCCAACAAAUCUGUUGCUUGCUUCAUUGUUCCGGAGAACGGCGUUUUAGUCAUCUUGCCCAAGAGGCAUGGUUCGGAAGCAUCAAAUGAUUCAUAAUCAAGUGAUUCCAAAGUCCCAUCAGCAUGGAGUUUUUUCAUGCGCUUUACACCAAUAUGACUUAAACAGCAGUGCCACAAAUAAGUUGCACUAUCAUUAUUAACUUUGCAUAUUUUGGCUUCAAUAUUAUGAAUAUGUGUAUUAUUACGAUCGAGAUCCAACAAACCAUUUUCGUUGGUGUGUAUGACCAUAGAAGGUUCUAUUCAUGUAAACAGAACAAGAAUUUAUUCUCUUACUUAAAUGAAUAACCGUAUUGCAAUAAACAUGAUCAAAUCAUAUUCAUGCUCAACGCAAACACCAAAUAACACUUAUUUAGGUUCAACACUAAUCCCGAAAGUAUAGGGAGUGUGCGAUGAUGAUCAUAUCAAUUUUGGAACCACUUCCAACACACAUCGUGUUGGGGAUCGUAGCAGAAAUUAAAAUUUUCCUACGCAUCACCAAGAUCUAUCCAUGGAGUAUUCUAGCAACGAGGGGAUAGGAGAGCAUCUACAUACCACUUGUAGAUCGCAACGGAAGCGUUCAAGAAGAACGUGGAUGAUGGAGUCGUACUCGUCGUGAUCCAAAUCACCGAUGACCAGCGCCGAACGGACGGCACCUCCGCGUUCAACACACGUACGGUCGGGAUGACGUCUCCUCCUUCUUGAUCCAGCAAGGGGGAAGGAGAGGUUGAUGAAGAUCCAGCAGCACGACGGCGUGGUGGUGGAUGCAGCAGAGUUCCAGCAGGGCUUCGCCAAGCUUCUGUGAAGAGAGGGAGAGGUGUAACGGGGAGAGGGAGGCGCCAAUGCAGCAGGGGUGCGGCUGCCCUCCCUCCCCCCCCCCUUUAUAUAGGCCCCCUAAGGGGGGGCGCAGCCCUGGAGAUGGAUCUCCAGGGGGGCGGCGGCCAAGGGGGUGCCUUGCCCCCCAAGGCAAGUGUGGCGCCCCCUGCCCUAGGGUUUCCAACCCUAGGCGUAGGGGAAAGGCCCAUGGGGGGCGCACCAGCCCACUAUGGGCUGGUUCCCUCCCACUUCAGCCCACGGGGCCCUCCGGGAUGGGUGGCCCCACCCGGUGGACCCCCAGGACCCAUCUGGUGGUCCCGGUACAAUACCGGUGACCCCCAGAUCCACCCCGAUGGCCGAAACGACACUUCCUAUAUACAAUUCUUCACCUCCGGACCAAUCCGGAACCUCUCGUGACGUCCGGGAUCUCAUCCGGGACUCCGAACAACCUUCGGUUUGCUGCAUACUAAUAUCUUUACAACCCUAGCGUCACCGAACCUUAAGUGUGUAGACCCUACGGGUUCGGGAGACAUGCAGACAUGACCGAGACGAUCUCCGGUCAAUAACCAACAGCGGGAUCUGGAUACCCAUGUUGUCUCCCACAUGCUCCUCGAUGAUCUCAUCGGAUGAACCACGAUGUCGAGGACUUAAUCAAUCCCGUACUCAAUUCCCUUCGUCUAGCGGUACGAUACUUGCCCGAGAUUCGAUCGUCGGUAUACCGAUACCUUGUUCAAUCUCGUUACCGGCAAGUCUCUUUACUCGUUCCCGUAACACAUCAUCCCGUGAUCAACACCUUGAUCACAUUGAGCUCAUUAUAAUGAUGUCUUACCGAGUGGGCCCAGAGAUACCUCUUCGUCAUACGGAGUGACAAAUCCCAGUCUCGAUUCAUGCCAACCCAACAAACACUUUCGGAGAUACCUGUAGUGCACCUUUAUAGUCACCCAGUUACGUUGUGAUGUUUGAUACACCCAAAGCAUUCCUACGGUAUCCGGGAGUUGCAUAAUCUCAUGGUCUAAGGAAUGAUACUUGACAUUCAGAAAAAGCUCUAGCAAACGAACUACACGAUCUUUGUGCUAUGCUUAGGUUUGGGUCUUGUCCAUCACAUCAUUCUCCUAAUGAUGUGAUCCCGUUAUCAAUGACAUCCCCAUGUCCAUAGUCAGGAAACCAUGACUAUCUAUUGAUCAACGAGCUAGUCAACUAGAGGCUUACUAGGGACACAUUGUGGUCUAUGUAUUCACACAUGUAUUAUGAUUUCCGAACAAUACAAGUUAUAGCAUGAACAAUAGACAAUUAUCAUGAACAAGGAAAUAUAAUAAUCCAUUUAUUAUUGCCUCUAGGGCAUAUUUCCAACAGUCUCCCACUUGCACUAGAGACAAUAGUCUAGUUACAUUGUGAUGAAUCGCACACCCAUGGAAUUUUGGUGUUGAUCAUGUUUUGCUCUAGGGAGAGGUUUAGUCAACGGAUCUGCCACAUUCAGGUCUGUAUGUACUUUACAAAUCUCUAUGUCUCCAUUUUGAACACUUUCACGAAUGGAUUUGAAGCGAUGCUUGAUAUCCCUGGUCUUCCUGUGAAACCUGGGCUCCUUCGCAAGGGCAAUUGCUCCAGUGUUGUCACAGAAGAGAGUCAUCGGGUCUGACGCAUUGGGUAUGACUCCUAGGUCGGUAAUGAACUCCUUCACCCAGACUGCUUCUUGUGCUGCCUCCGAGGCUGCCAUAUACUCUGCUUCACAUGUAGAUCCCGCCACGACGCUUUGCUUGCAACUGCACCAGCUUACUACCCCUCCAUUCAAAAUAUACACGUAUCUGGUUUGUGACUUGGAGUCAUCCAGAUCUGUGUCGAAGCUGGCGUCGACGUAACCCUUUACGACGAGCUCUUCGGCACCUCCAUAAACGAGAAACAUAUCCUUAGUCCUUUUCAGGUACUUCAGGAUGUUUUUGACCGCUGUCCAGUGUUCCUUGCCGGGAUUACUUUGGUACCUACCUACCAAACUUACGGCAAGGUUUACAUCGGGUCUGGUACACAGCAUGGCAUACAUAAUAGACCCUAUAGCUGAGGCAUAGGGGAUGACACUCAUCUCUUCUAUAUCUUUUGCCGUGGUCGGACAUUGAGCCGUGCUCAAUCGCACACCUUGCAAUACAGGCAAGAACCCCUUCUUGGACUGAUCCAUUUUGAACUUCUUCAAAAUCUUGUCAAGGUACGUACUUUGCGAAAGACCGAUGAGGCGUCUCGAUCUAUCUCUAUAGAUCUUGAUGCCUAAUAUAUAAGCAGCUUCUCCAAGGUCCUUCAUUGAAAAACACUUGUUCAAAUAGGCCUUUAUGCUUUCCAAGAAUUCUAUAUCAUUUCCCAUCAAUAGUAUGUCAUCCACAUAUAAUAUGAGAAAUGCUACGGAGCUCCCACUCACUUUCUUGUAAACGCGGGCUUCUCCAUAAGUCUGCAUAAACCCAAACGCUUUGAUCAUCUCAUCAAAGCGAAUGUUCCAACUCCGAGAUGCUUGCACCAGCCCAUAGAUAGAGUGCUGGAGCUUGCAUACUUUGUUAGCAUUCUUAGGAUCGACAAAACCUUCCGGCUGCAUCAUAUACAAUUCUUCUUUAAGGAAGCCGUUAAGGAAUGCCGUUUUGACGUCCAUUUGCCAUAUCUCAUAAUCAUAGUAUGCGGCAAUUGCUAACAUGAUUCGGACGGACUUCAGCUUCGCUACGGGUGGGAGAGUCUCAUCAUAGUCAACCCCUUGAACUUGUCGAUAACCCUUAGCGACAAGUCGAGCUUUAUAGAUGGUCACAUUACCAUCCGCGUCUGUCUUCUUCUUAAAGAUCCAUUUAUUUUCUAUGGCUCGCCGACCAUCGGGCAAGUCAUUCAAAGUCCACACUUUGUUUUCAUACAUGGAUUCUAUCUCGGAUUUCAUGGCUUCUAGCCAUUUGUCGGAAUCUGGGCCCGCCAUCGCUUCUUCAUAGUUCGGAGGUUCACCGUUGUCCAACAACAUGAUUUCCAGGACAGGGUUGCCGUACCACUCUGGUGCGGAACGUGUCCUUGUGGACCUACGAAGUUCGGUAGGAGUUUGAUCAGAAGUAUCUUGAUCAUUAUCAUUAACCUCCUCUUGAAUCGGUGCAGGCACCACAGGAACAUUUUCCUGAGCUGCGCUACUCUGAUUUUCAAGAGGUAGUACUUCAUCAAGCUCUACUUUCCUCCCACUUACUUCUUUUGAGAGGAACUCUUUCUCUAGAAAGGACCCGUUCUUGGCAACAAAGAUCUUGCCUUCGGAUCUGAGGUAGAAGGUAUACCCAACUAUUUCUUUGGGAUAUCCUAUGAAGACGCAUUUUUCUGAUUUGGGUUCGAGCUUUUCAGGUUGAAGUCUCUUGACAUAAGCAUCGCAGCCCCAAACUUUCAAAAACGACAGCUUAGGUUUCUUUCCAAACCAUAAUUCAUACGGUGUCGUCUCAACGGAUUUUGACGGAGCCCUAUUUAAAGUGAAUGCGGCUGUCUCUAGAGCAUAUCCCCAAAAUGAUAGCGGUAGAUCUGUAAGAGACAUCAUAGACCGCACCAUAUCCAAUAGAGUGCGAUUACGACGUUCAGACACACCGUUACGCUGAGGUGUUCCAGGCGGCGUGAGUUGUGAAACGAUUCCACAUUUUCUUAAGUGUGUGCCAAAUUCGUGACUCAAGUAUUCUCCUCCACGAUCUGAUCGUAGAAACUUGAUUUUUCUGUCACGUUGAUUUUCAACCUCACUCUGAAACUCCUUGAACUUUUCAAAGGUCUCAGACUUGUGUUUCAUUAAGUAGACAUACCCAUAUCUACUCAAAUCUUCAGUGAGAGUGAGAACAUAACGAUAGCCUCCGCGAGCCUCAACGCUCAUUGGACCACACACAUCUGUAUGUAUGAUUUCCAACAAGUUGGUUGCUCGCUCCAUUGUCCCUGAGAAUGGAGUCUUGGUCAUUUUGCCCAUGAGGCAUGGUUCGCACGUGUCAAAUGAUUCAUAAUCGAGAGACUCUAAAAGUCCAUCAGCAUGGAGCUUCUUCAUGCGCUUGACACCAAUGUGACCAAGGCGGCAGUGCCACAAGUAUGUGGGACUAUUGUUAUCAACUUUGCAUCUUUUGGUAUUCACAUUAUGAAUAUGUGUAACAUCACGUACGAGAUUCAUUAAGAAUAAACCAUUAACCAUCGGAGCAUGACCAUAAAACAUAUCACUCAUAUAAAUAGAACAACCAUUAUUCUCGGAUUUAAAUGAGUAGCCAUCUCGCAUUAAACGAGAUCCAGAUACAAUGUUCAUGCUCAAACUUGGCACUAAAUAACAAUUAUUGAGGUUUAAAACUAAUCCCGUAGGUAAAUGUAGAGGCAGCGUGCCGACGGCGAUCACAUCGACCCUGGAACCAUUCCCGACGCGCAUCGUCACCUCGUCCUUCGCCAGUCUCCGUUUAUUCCGCAGCUCCUGUUUUGAGUUACAAAUAUGAGCAAUGGCACCGGUAUCAAAUACCCAGGAGCUACUACGAGCACUGGUAAGGUACACAUUAAUUACAUGUAUAUCACAUAUACCUUUAGUGUUGCCGGCCUUCUUAUCCGCUAAGUACUUGGGGCAAUUCCGCUUCCAGUGACCAGUUCCCUUGCAAUAAAAGCACUCAGUUUCAGGUUUGGGUCCAUUCUUUGACUUCUUCCUGGCAACUGAUUUACCAGGCGCGGCAACCUCCUUGCCGUCCUUCUUGAAGUUCUUCUUACCCUUGCCUUUCUUGAACUUAGUGGUUUUAUUCACCAUCAACACUUGAUGUUCCUUUUUGAUCUCCACCUCUGCAGAUUUCAGCAUUGAAUACAACUCGGGAAUGAUCUUUUCCAUCCCCUGCAUAUUGUAGUUCAUCACGAAGCUCUUGUAGCUAGGUGGGAGCGACUGAAGGAUUCUGUCAAUGACCGCCUCAUCCGGAAGAUUAACUUCUAGCUGAGUCAAGCGGUUGUGCAACCCAGACAUCUUGAGUAUGUGCUCACUGACAGAGCUAUUUUCCUCCAUCUUGCAGCUAAAGAACUUGUCGGAGACAUCAUAUCUCUCGACCCGGGCAUGAGCUUGGAAAAUCAAUUUCAGAUCCUCGAACAUCUCAUAUGCUCCGUGUUGCUCAAAACGCUUUUGGAGCCCCGGUUCUAAGCUGUAAAGCAUGCCGCACUGAACGAGGGAGUAAUCAUCAGUACGUGACUGAUGGGCGUUCAUAACGUCCUAGUUUUCUGGGAAUGGUGCUUCACCUAGCGGUGCUUCUAGGACAUAAUCUUUCUUGGCUGCAAUGAGGAUGAUCCUCAGGUUCCGGACCCAGUCCGAAUAGUUGCUGCCAUCAUCUUUCAGCUUGGUUUUCUCUAGGAACGCGUUGAAGUUGAGGGUGACAUUACCGUGGGCCAUUUGAUCUACAAGACAUAUUGUAAAGAUUUAGACUAAGUUCAUGAUAAUUAAGUUCAUCUAAUCAAAUUAGUGAAUGAACUCCCACUCAGAUUUGACAUCCCUCUAGUCAUCUAAGUGAUACAUGAUCCGAGUCAACUAGGCCGUGUCCGAUCAUCACGUGAGACGGACUAGUUAUCAUCGGUGAACAUCUCCAUGUUGAUCGUGUCUUCCAUACGACUCAUGUUCGACCUUUCGGUCCUCCGUGUUCCGAGGCCAUGUCUGUACAUGCUAGGCUCGUCAAUCCAACCUAAGUGUAUUGCGUGUGUAAAUCUGGCUUACACCCGUUGUAUGCGAACGUAAGGACCUAUCACACCCGAUCAUCACGUGGUGCUUCGGAACGACGAACCUUAGCAACGGUGCACAGUUAGGGAGAACACAUUUUUGAUAUUUAAAUGAGGGAUCAUCUUAUUUAUGCUACCGUCGUUCUAAGCAAAUAAGAUGUAAAACAUGAUAAACAUCACAUGCAAUCAAAUAGUGACAUGAUAUGGCCAACAUCAUUUCGCUCCUUUGAUCUCCAUCUUCAGGGCGCCAUGUUCAUCGUCGUCACCGGCAUGACACCAUGAUCUCGAUCAUCAUGAUCUCCAUCAUCGUGUCUUCGUGAAGUUGUCACGUCAACUAUUACUUCUACUACUAUGGCUAACGCUUUAGCAAUAAAGUAAAGUAAUUACAUGACGAUUUAAGUUGACACGCAGGUCAUAAAUAAAUAAAGACAACUCCUAUGGCUCCUGCCGGUUGUCAUACUCAUCGACAUGCAAGUCGUGAUUCCUAUUACAAUAACAAGAUCAUCUCAUACAUCACAUACAUGAUUCAUCACAACUUCUGGCCAUAUCACAUCACAAAGCACUUGCUGCAAAAACAAGUUAGACGUCCUCUAAUUGUUGUUGCAAGUUUUUACGUGGCUGUUAUAGGUUGCUAGCAAGAACGUUUCUUACCUACAUUGAAACCACAACGUGAAUUGUCAAUCUCUAUUUACCCUUCAUAAGGACCCUGUUCAUCGAAUCCGAUCCAACUAAAGUGGGAGAGACAGACACCCGCCAGCCACCUUAUGCAACUAGUGCAUGUUAGUCGGUGGAACCGGUCUCACGUAAGCGUACGUGUAAGGUUGGUCCGGGCCGCUUCAUCCCACAAUACCGCUGAAUCAAUAUAGGACUAGUAACGGCAAGAAGAAUUGACAAUUCAACGCCCACAACUACUUUGUGUUCUACUCGUGCAUAGAAACUACGCAUAGACCUAGCUCAUGAUGCCACUGUUGGGGAUCGUAGCAGAAAUUAAAAUUUUCCUACGCAUCACCAAGAUCUAUCCAUGGAGUAUUCUAGCAACGAGGGGAUAGGAGAGCAUCUACAUACCACUUGUAGAUCGCAACGGAAGCAUUCAAGAAGAACGUGGAUGAUGGAGUUGUACUCGUCGUGAUCCAAAUCACCGAUGACCAGCGCCGAACGGACGGCACCUCCGCGUUCAACACACGUACGGUCGGGAUGACGUAUCCUCCUUCUUGAUCCAGCAAGGGGGAAGGAGAGGUUGAUGAAGAUCCAGCAGCACGACGGCGUGGUGGUGGAUGCAGCAGAGUUCCAGCAGGGCUUCGCCAAGCUUCUGUGGAGAGAGGGAGAGGUGUAACGGGGAGAGGGAGGCGCCAAUGCAGCAGGGGUGCGGCUGCCCUCCCUCCCCCCCUUUAUAUAGGCCCCCUAAGGGGGAGCGCAGCCCUGGAGAUGGAUCUCCAGGGGGCGGCCAAGGGGGGUGCCUUGCCCCCCAAGGCAAGUGUGGCGCCCCCUGCCCUAGGGUUUCCAACCCUAGGCGCAGGGGAAAGGCCCAUGGGGGGCGCACCAGCCCACUAUGGGCUGGUUCCCUCCCCACUUCAGCCCACGGGGGCCUCCGGGAUGGGUGGCCCCACCCGGUGGACCCCCGGGACCCAUCUGGUGGUCCCGGUACAAUACCGGUGACCCCCAGAUCCACCCCGAUGGCCGAAACGACACUUCCUAUAUAUAAUUCUUCACCUCCGGACCAAUCCGGAACCUCUCGUGACGUCCGGGAUCUCAUCCGGGACUCCGAACAACCUUCGGUUUGCUGCAUACUAAUAUCUUUACAACCCUAGCGUCACCGAACCUUAAGUGUGUAGACCCUACGGGUUCGGGAGACAUGCAGACAUGACCGAGACGAUCUCCGGUCAAUAACCAACAGCGGGAUCUGGAUACCCAUGUUGGCUCCCACAUGCUCCUCGAUGAUCUCAUCGGAUGAACCACGAUGUCGAGGACUUAAUCAAUCCCGUACUCAAUUCCCUUCGUCUAGCGGUACGAUACUUGCCCGAGAUUCGAUCGUCGGUAUACCGAUACCUUGUUCAAUCUCGUUACCGGAAAGUCUCUUUACUCGUUCCCGUAACACAUCAUCCCGUGAUCAACACCUUGAUCACAUUGAGCUCAUUAUGAUGAUGUCUUACCGAGUGGGCCCAGAGAUACCUCUUUGUCAUACGGAGUGACAAAUCCCAGUCUCGAUUCAUGCCAACCCAACAAACACUUUCGGAGAUACCUGUAGUGCACCUUUAUAGUCAUCCAGUUACGUUGUGACGUUUGAUACACCCAAAGCAUUCCUACGGUAUCCGGGAGUUGCAUAAUCUCAUGGUCUAAGGAAUGAUACUUGACAUUCAGAAAAAGCUCUAGCAAACGAACUACACGAUCUUUGUGUUAUGCUUAGGUUUGGGUCUUGUCCAUCACAUCAUUCUCCUAAUGAUGUGAUCCCGUUAUCAAUGACAUCCCCAUGUCCAUAGUCAGGAAACCAUGACUAUCUAUUGAUCAACGAGCUAGUCAACUAGAGGCUUACUAGGGACACAUUGUGGUCUAUGUAUUCACACAUGUAUUAUGAUUUCCGAACAAUACAAGUUAUAGCAUGAACAAUAGACAAUUAUCAUGAACAAGGAAAUAUAAUAAUCCAUUUAUUAUUGCCUCUAGGGCAUAUUUCCAACACAUCAUCACUUCACCCUUAACUAGUCUCUGUUCAUUCUGCAACUCCUGUUUCGAGUUACUACUCUUAGCAACUGAAACAGUAUCAAAUACCGAGGGGUUGCUAUGAACACUAGUAAAAUACACAUCAAUAAUCUGUAUAUCAAAUAUACCUUUGUUCACUUUGCCAUCCUUCUUAUCCGCCAAAUACUUGGGGCAGUUCCGCUUCCAGUGACCAGUCCCUUUGCAGUAGAAGCACUCAGUCUCGGGCUUAGGUCCAGAGUUGGGCUUCUUCACUUGAGCAGCAACUUGCUUGCUGUUCUUCUUGAAGUUCCCCUUUUUUCCUUUGCCCUUUUCUUGAAACUAGUGAUCUUGUCAACCAUCAACACUUGAUGCUCUUUCUUGAUUUCUACCUUCAUCGAUUUCAUCAUCAUGAAAAGCUCGGGAGUCGUUUUCGUCAUCCCUUGCAUACUAUAGUUCAUCACGAAGUUCUACUAACUUGGUGAUGGUGACUAGAGAAUUCUGUCAAUCACUAUCUUAUCUGGAAGAUUAACUCCCACUUGAUUCAAGCGAUUGUAGUACCCAGACAAUCUGAGCACAUGUUCACUAGUUGAGCGAUUCUCCUCCAUCUUGUAGCUAUAGAACUUGUUGGAGACUUCAUAUCUCUCAACUCGGGUAUUUGCUUGAAAUAUUCACUUCAACUCCUGGAACAUCUCUUAUGGUCCAUGACGUUCAAAACGUCUUUGAAGUCCCGAUACUAAGCCGUUAAGUAUGGUGCACUAAACUAUCAAGUAGUCAUCAUAUUGAGCUAGCCAAACGUUCAUAACGUCUGCAUCUGCUCCUGCAAUAGGUCUAUCACCUAGCGGUGCAUCAAGGACAUAAUUUUUCUGUGCAGCAAUGAGGAUAAACCUCAUAUCACAGAUCCAAUCCGCAUCAUUGCUACUAACAUCUUUCAACACAAUUUUCUCUAGGAACAUAUCAAAAUAAACAUAUAAAAGCAACAACGCGAGCUAUUGAUCUACAACAUAGAUAUGCUAAUACUACUAGGACUAAGUUCAUGAUAAAUUAAAGUUCAACUAAUCAUAUUACUUAAGAACUCCCACUUAGAUAGACAUCCCUCUAAUCUUCUAAGUGAUCACGUGAUCCAAAUAAAACUAAACCAUAACCGAUCAUCACGUGAAAUGGAUUAGUCUUCAAUGGUGAACAUCAUUAUGUUGAUCAUAUCUACUAUAUGAUUCAUGCUCGACCUUUCGGUCUCCGUGUUCCGAGGCCAUAUCUGCAUAUGCUAGGCUCGUCAAGUAUAACCCGAGUAUUCUACAUGUGCAAAACUGGCUUGCACCCGUUGUAGAUGGACAUAGAGCUUAUCACACCCGAUCAUCACGUGGUGUCUGGGCACGACGAACUUUGGCAACGGUGCAUACUCAGGGAGAACACUUCUUGAUAAUUAGUGAGAGAUCAUCUUAUAAUGCUACCGUCAAUCAAAGAAAGAUAAGAUGCAUAAAAAGAUAAACAUCACAUGCAAUCAAUAUAAGUGAUAUGAUAUGGCCAUCAUCAUCUUGUGCUUUGUGAUCUCCAUCUCCGAAGCACCGUCAUGAUCACCAUCGUCACCGGCGCGACACCUUGAUCUCCAUCAUAGCAUCGUUGUCGUCUCGCCAAUCUUAUGCUUCUACGACUAUCGCUACCGCUUAGUGAUAAAGUAAAGCACUACAGGGAGAUUGCAUUGCAUACAAUAAAGCGACAACCAUAUGGCUCCUGCCAGUUGCCGAUAACUCAGUUACAAAACAUGAUCAUCUCAUACAAUAAAUCUUAGCAUCAUGUCUUGACCAUAUCACAUCACAACAUGCCCUGCAAAAACAAGUUAGACGUCCUCUACUUUGUUGUUGCAUGUUUUACGUGGCUGCUACGGGCUUAGCAAGAACAAAUCUUACCUACGCAUCAAACCACAACGAUAGUUUGUCAAGUUGGUGCUGUUUUAACCUUCGCAAGGACCGGGCGUAGUCACACUCGGUUCAACUAAAGUUGGAGAAACUGACACCCGCUAGCCACCUGUGUGCAAAGCACGGCGGUAGAACCAGUCUCGCGUAAGCGUACGCGUAAUGUCGGUCCGGGCCGCUUCAUCCAACAAUACCGCCGAACCAAAGUAUGACAUGCUGGUAAGCAGUAUGACUUAUAUCGCCCACAACUCACUUGUGUUCUACUCGUGCAUAUAACAUCAAACCAUAAAACCUAGGCUCGGAUGCCAGUGUUGAGGAACGUAGUAAUUUCAAAAAUUUCCUACGCACACACAAGAUCAUGGUGAUGCAUAGCAACGAGAGGGGAGAGUGUUGUCUACGUACCCUCGUAGACCAAAGCGGAAGCGUUGACACAACGUAGAGGAAGUAGUCGUACAUCUUCCCGGUCCAACCGAUUCAAGCACCGUUACUCUGGCACCUCCGAGUUCUUGGCACACGUACAGCUCGAUGACGCACCCCGGGCUCCGAUCCAGCAAAGCUUCGGGGAGGAGUUCCGUCAGCACGACGGCGUGGUGACGAUCUUGAUGUUCAACCGUCGCAGGGCUUCGCCUAAGCACCGCUACAAUAUGACCCAGGUGUAAUAUCAUGGAGGGGGCACCGCACACGGCUAAGGAACGAUCACGAAGAUCAACUUGUGUGUCCAUGGGAUGCCCCCUGCCCCCGUAUAUAAAGGAGUGGAGGAGGAGAGGGCCGGCCCUCUCUAUGGCGCGCCCUAGGGGAGUCCUACUCCCACCGGGAGUAGGAUUCCCCCUUUCCUAGUCCAACUAGGAGUCCUUCCAUGUAGUGGGAGUAGGAGACAAGGAAGGGGAAGGGAGAAGGGAAGGAAGGAGGGGGCGCAGCCCCUCCCCCUAGUCCAAUUCGGACUAGGCCUUGGGGGGCGCGCGGCCUGCCCUAGGCAGCCCCUCUCUCUUUCCCGUAUGGCCCAAUAAGGCCCAAUACUUCUCCCCCGUAUUCCCGUAACUCCCCGGUACUCCGAAAAAUACCCGAACCACUCAGAACCUUUCCGAUGUCCGAAUAUAGUCAUCCAAUUUAUCGAUCUUUACGUCUCGACCAUUUAGAGACUCCUCGUCAUGUCCCCGAUCCCAUCCGGGACUCCGAACUCCUUCGGUACAUCAAAACUCAUAAACUCAUAAUAUAACUGUCAUCGAAACCUUAAGCGUGCGGACCCUACGGUUCGAGAACAAUGUAGACAUGACCGAGACAUGUCUCCGGUCAAUAACCAAUAACGGAACCUGGAUGCUCAUAUUGGCUCCUAGAUAUUCUAUGAAGAUCUUUAUCGGCCAGACCGCAUAACAACAUACGUUGUUCCCUUUGUCAUCGGUAUGUUACUUGCCCGAGAUUCGAUCGUCGGUAUCUCAAUACCUAGUUCAAUCUCGUUACCGGCAAGUCUCUUUACUCGUUCUGUAAUACAUCAUCUCGCAACUAACUCAUUAGUUGCAAUGCUUGCAAGGCUUAAGUGAUGUGCAUUACCGAGAGGGCCCAGAGAUACCUCUCCGACAUUCGGAGUGACAAAUCAUAAUCUCGAAAUACGCCAACCCAACAAGUACCUUCGGAGACACCUGUAGAGCACCUUUAUAAUCACCCAGUUACGUUGUGACGUUUGGUAGCACACAAAGUGUUCCUCCGGUAAACGGGAGUUGCAUAAUCUCAUAGUCAUAGGAACAUGUAUAAGUCAUGAAGAAAGCAAUAGCAACAUACUUAAACGAUCGAGUGCUAAGCUAACGAAUGGGUCAUGUCAAUCACAUCAUUCUCCUAAUGAUGUGAACCUGUUAAUCAAAUGACAACUCAUGUCUAUGGCUAGGAAACUUGACCAUCUUUGAUCAACGAGCUAGUCAAGUAGAGGCAUACUAGUGACACUCUGUUUGUCUAUGUAUUCACACAUGUAUUAUGUUUCCGGUUAAUACAAUUCUAGCAUGAAUAAUAAACAUUUAUCAUGAAAUAAGGAAAUAAAUAAUAACUUUAUUAUUGCCUCUAGGGCAUAUUUCCUUCAAUUACGCCUGAGCAGGUAACGAGGUCAUUACUUCAGUCAUUUCUCAUGCUUGCCUGAAAAAAAGUCACCAAUUUUGCAUUGUUGCCCUAUUUCAUAGGUGGAAUGACAGCCAUAUGGCGCCGAUGACAGACUUGGGUACACCCCGGAGUUUUCCAUCAACCCGAUGUGCUUGCGGGAUAGGGAUCUCUGGCUUAUGCGGUGCCCACUGAUAUGCAACUGGGCUGUUGAGUUUCAUUUGCCACAUCGCGUGUUUCGUCAGUUUGGUCUGUUCCAGCCUCACCCACCGGAAUGGGUGGAUACGGACAAAGCACUUCAUAGGUAAGAGAGUGUAUUGACUAAGCAUCAUCAGUCCUUCUUGAUUUUGCUAAUGUUUGGUGUUGUACCAUGCAGGUUGGACAGGAGAAGGCAACGGAAGAUAAAGGACUGGGACAAGCAUCAUGCUUCGUAUGUUACUCGCUUCUAGCUUUGCGUGGAGCAAGCUCGUAGCAAUGCACGCGACAAGCUUCGUGAGCAUAACUCACUUGCUUUUGAUAACUACAUACGAUGGCUUCUUGAAAAUACUCGAGUUGAGAUAUGCCCGCCGGCAUAUAAUGAGGAUAUUCUUGAAGAACCCGUAAACUUUGAGGAUCUAUCAAAGGGGAAGUACAACAGAGAUGUCAGGGUAGGGCAAGGAGUCCCUGCUGUUCUGGUGAUUAACUAUGUGGUAAAGUGUUCCUUCUUUACUUUCCCGUUGGCCGUAUUACACAUGUUUGAAUGGCUAACAUGUUCAUUCUUUCUCAUCCGCAGUGCACCGAGAUCAAGAAAGCAGCUGAUGAGAGCCAGUCUAUUCUGGAGAACACACCGGUUGGAAAAGGCAAUGAUGAUGGUUCACUACGAGCAUUCCUCAAGGUACAUAUCGCAUUCACUAUGAGAGCCAGUCUAUGUUGCGGAGUUUGAUAUCUUCCACACUUGUUCAUGUUACAGCGUCAGGCCAAGAAGUUAAGGCGGUUAUCGAAUCUUCUCGGUUGCCGUGAUCCUGAAUUUGAUGAACCAUCUUGCUCUAGGUCUGGUACACCAUCAGACCCCUUAUCUGACCAUCAAGGGGCCGAUGUGAGUUCCUCAUAUGCUUAUCUGGAUGAUGAGGGUGCGGUCACCCAAGAGGUAUGACUAAUCCUUUAGAUGUGAUUCUCACUUGAUUGCGACGCCGGUCUUCAUCAUAUUGUUUGAUUGUGUGAUAGGGCCAUGAGCUUGAUGAUGACAUGACUUUGGCGGACGCUUAACUUCGGUCCCCAUAUGUGUUCAAGCCUAGGCAGCCCAGACGCCGGUACACGCCCAACGACUUUGACAAUAGAGGCAACCCAAAGGUGGUCGUAGGGACCUCAUGGAUGGCUAGCUUGGAUGAUGAGGCGGAGGCGGAGGCGGAGGAGGAAUUGCAGGAAGAGGAGGCUCGUCCACCCAGGAAGAAGAAGAUUGCUUGCAGGAAUGGCACCAGGAACACACGCGGAAGGCAUUAGUGCUUGUGUUUGUUAGUGCUCUUGUAGCCGUUUCAUUAGGUUGAUGAACUUGUGAGGUUAUGUUAUAUGUUGGUGAACUCUUACUAGUGUGGUAUUUGUGUUUGCGAACUAGUAGUAAUGUUGAAUUGUCCUAAAUGAUGUGAUGUUCAAGUUAUUAGUUGUCUUUGUUCAGUAUUUGUGUUUACAAUAAUUUUAGUGAUGUUCAAGCAAGUUAUGUGAGUGCUGCAUGGGCCAAAAUGGCAUCUGUUUCUGCAGUUUGGCAGUUAACAGCACUGCAGCGCCCAACAGCCAAGCGCUGCACUGUACUGUGCAGCGCCCAACGCUUAGGCGCCGCACCAUACACUGCAGCGCCCCUCUCAUAGGCGCUGCUCAACUGGCCAUGGCUAUCCAAAGAGCCACAGAAGGCUUGCAGCACUGACAAUCCAUGAAAAUUACCAAGUCAGAGUGCAGCGCCCAAGAGCCAGGCAUGGUCUUCCAACGGAUGUGCAUUCCAGAACCAACAUUAUGCCUUCUCUCGAACUCAACAACGUCACUUAGGUCCAUCUAAUUCAAAUCCUUCCUCACUUGGUCCAAGAGCUCCGCAUAGCUAGGACUACUCUCAAACACCAUGUCAAGCUCAUCCGGGUCCGGCUCAACAUUGCCUUUCAAAAAGGCCUCUUUAUCCACAUGAUGAACAUAAACACAUUUUCUCCCCAUCCCUAUAAUAAUCAAAAACACACAUAUAUCAAGUAAGUACUUAACAAAAAUAUUUGCACAAAAUACAUAUGCCAUAACAUAUAUAUGAAUUAAUAACCAUAACCCUCACAUAACAAUUACCACAACCCUAACUAUAGCAUAACCCUAACACCAACAUCAAACACACACAUAACCCUAACCCUAGCAUACUAUGAAAGCCUAACCAUACCAAAUUAGCAAAGAAACAUAACAUGAUUCAACACAAAUUUGCAAAUCCAAGCCAAAACUAGGGUUUCCCCAAAGUAGCAAGAUUUGAGCAAAUGUGACAAUUCCUAUGGAUGAAAACGAGGGGAUCGGAGGAGAUUGCCUUAAGCGAGGGAUUGGCUUCGAAAUCCACGGUCAAAUACUCCGGAUUUGCAAGAUUUGAGAAGGAUUUGAGAGGGGGAGAGGGGAAGAGAGGAGGGGCGCAAGUCUAAGGGUUUGGGUGGGGUGGGGUGUGUGGGGUGGGGUGGGAGGGGAGAGAGGGUGGGGCCAGCCUAAGUGAAACACGGACUGUGCAGCGCCUAAGAGACGGGCGUUGCAUAUUACAAGUGUGGCGCCUAGGCCUUAGGCGCAGCAGUGCUGUCUGUGGGGCCGCAACUGGACCAGGGCUGCCACGCUGGCAGAAGGUGUGACGCCCAAGGGAAGGACGCUGCAUAGUAAUAUGCGGCGCCUAGCUGUCGGGCGCCACACGAAAGGGUCAGCAGAGUGAAAUGUUUUCGAGAGCAGGUCAGUUUGUGAUUUGAUUUCGCCCUCAGGUCAAAUAUGUGAUUUCUGCCACUAUUAGGCAUGACAUGAACAUAUAAUUUCAUCUUAAUGAUAUUCAAUUCAUUCAAUAAUUUACUGAUAGGAUAUAAAUGAAGCACAAGAGUAAAUGACGAGCUACUCCAAAAAGAUAUAAGUGAAGAUCAAACGAGUAGUUAAGUAAAUGGGUAACUAUUUGAAGACUCUCUCUUAUUUAAAAAAAUUCAGAUCUAAGUAUUUUAUUAAAAAACAAGCAAAAAAAUAAAUAAAAUAACAUUUCAAGAAUAGCACAACUCAUGUGAAAAAGCAAAAACUUAAGCUCAACCGAUACUAACCGAUAAUUGCUGAAAAAGAAAGGUAGGAUGCCUACCGGGGAAUCCCCAAGCUUAGAUGUUUGAGACUUGUUGGGAUAUUAUCUUGGGAUGCCUUGGGCAUCCCCAAGCUUGAGCUUUUGUGUCUCCUUAAUUUCUUUUAUAUCAACAUUUCCCUAAAUCUUAAAAACUUCAUCCACAUAAAACUAUCUUGCUUUUCUGAUUGCAUUGUUAUCUUACCUUGAAUUGUUAUGAGAAAAAAUUCAUCGUAAUAUAUGUUAUUUCUCUUAAUGUUAGUAAUGCAUUCUUCUAAUUGUGCAAAUGUGGAGAUACUCUAUGAUAUAUUAAUUUCUCUGACUUUUUAUUCAUUCAAAUGUUCAAAUGGACAUAUAUUUAUGUUUCCUUUCAUAACUUUCCCUAUUUCCCACUCCAUAAGUCCCGUCCAAGUGUUUCCACAGAUCAAACAGAUUGAUUCAUGCUAGGAUCGACCAGCGGGCUGCACGCCGGCGGCGACCACACAACGCGAUGAUCUGGUAGGGAGCGGUCACUAGCCAAGCAUAGAACACGGCGGCAGCACGGCGGACGGCCACACAACACGGCGACGGUCGACGGACGCCCACACAAUGCAGCGGCGGUCGAAGGAUGGCCAUACAACUCAGUCGCCGGCGUCCGCCGGCCGGUGCUGGCGGCCAACAGUCCAGAAGGACUCGCAACAUGCAAUACAACCUCACGUGCUGCCUAGAACUAAUGAGCACCACAUGUGUAUAUGAUCGGACGUUCAUAAAAGAUAGAAGUUGUAAAUCUGAAUAGAGUUCACAAAAUUGAUAAUAAAUCACAAAUUUAGAAAAGUUCAUGAAAUUUGUACAAAGUUCACGAAGUUUAAAUAAUCAUGAAUUUGAAAAAUAAAUCAAGGGCUAAUAGUUCGUGCAUCUGAAAAAGUUCAAAAUUGGAUAAAAUCAUGAAUUAAAAAAGGGAAAUGAUUAGCUUCAACCGACUGAUGCUUUAUCGUUCAUCCGCCUCCUCACGCCCGCGACGCGUGUCCGUGUGGGACCAGCUCAUUCUUAUUCUCACGCCAACGACCACGCCUCCCAUUCCCGAAGCUUCUCACUAGAAUCGUUUUCCCUUUCGUCUACCCCGUCUUCUCCCAUCUCCUCCAAUCUCUCUCCUGUGAGCCCGUGCUGCUCCUCCAUCUUUCUCAUCUCCCCUCCCCUCCAUACUGUGGUGUUGCAUCGGUUACACUAGACAAGUCUGGCAAGAUUCAGAUUGACGGUGGCCGGCUGCCUGGCAUACCUACUUCAAGGUUCCAUGGUUGUAGGCUAGGCCCCAAAUGGUACAUGUGCAUGUCGCUCACCAUCGAGCUUUGGAUGAAAUUCAUGACAUGAUAUUACAAGUGCUUCACGUGGAAUUUUUGCAACAAAGAUCUUGUUGCAGAAAUACAGAGAAGAGGUCGUACAGGUUGUUCUAAUUUUUGCUACAAUGGUCUUGUUGUAGGAAUACAAAGAAGUUUUUGGCAACAACGGUCUUGUUGCAGAAAUGCAGAGCUGAGAUCGAAGAUGUUGUUGCAAUUUUUGCAACAAGGAUCUUGUUGCAGGAAUGGAAGAGGCGGGAGAUGUUUUUGCAUUUUUUGCAACAAUGGUCUUGUUGCAUGAAUUUAGAGAAGAGGCCAAAGAUGCUUCUGCAAUAUUGAUUUUGUUGCAACGAAGUUUUGCAACAAGCGUCUUGCUGCAGAAAAUAAAGAGAGACAAUGGGAUGACUCGUGGCAUACAAUCGGACGGCUCCUGACCUGGCUGAUCUUUUAAAAAGAUCAGCUGGUGGACACAUAGCAGGCCCCAUAAAAAAACAUGGGCUCAAAAUUCAUGAAUUUUGAAAGAAUCACAUAUUUGAAAAAAUCAUGAAUUUAAAAAAGUUCAUUAUUUUUAAAAUUGUUUACAAAAAAUGUAAAGAAAAGCCAAAAAAGAAGAAAAGGGAAAACUGUAAAAGAAAAAGAAACAAAAAGAAGAAAACCAAAGAAAAAACGAAACAAGAACCGAUAAAACCCCAACUGGAAAACAUACAAAAAACAUAAGUAUAUGGGACGACCCGCUACAAAACCUAGGGUACUGGGGGAGGUGAGGGUGCACCCCGUACGAAAACACCCUUAACUGAUGCUUAAUGCGUUGAAUAGGGAUUUGUGCACUGGGCUUGCGCAUAGAGGGUUGAGGGGUCGCUAUUGGUGGACUUCCCACGCCUUACACGGGGAAUAGGAUCCACAUAUAUAACACCCUUUUGCUUCAAAUUGUCGACAUGCCACACAUGCGGUUACGCGGAUCAUUAUCGACAAGUGUUGGGCGAUUGUUGCCUGGUUUUUUUUACUAGUUUUGAAUUAUUGGUUUGUGGUAAAAAAAAAGAAACGUCAAUAUUUAUUUUCUUUAAAAAUAAACACAUCCAAAAAUUUGAGAACAUAUUUUUUUAAACAAAGUAGAUUUUUUUAAAUUCAAACAUGCAUUGAAAUGUAUGUGAGAAUUUUUUGAAAAAAUCUCACAUUUUACAUAAAAUUUGUGGAUGUGUACUUUGGAAGUAUGAAAUUUUGUUUGAAAUAUUUCAAGAAUUUUGAAAAGGCACAAAUUUUGUAUGGCAAAUAAAACAACAAGAAAAGGAAAACAAAAAUGGACCGAAACCUUCUAAAAGGUUCGCAAAACCGGAUUCCUUCUGGAUGNNNNNNNNNNNNNNNNNNNNNNNNNNNNNNNNNNNNNNNNNNNNNNNNNNNNNNNNNNNNNNNNNNNNNNNNNNNNNNNNNNNNNNNNNNNNNNNNNNNNNNNNNNNNNNNNNNNNNNNNNNNNNNNNNNNNNNNNNNNNNNNNNNNNNNNNNNNNNNNNNNNNNNNNNNNNNNNNNNNNNNNNNNNNNNNNNNNNNNNNNNNNNNNNNNNNNNNNNNNNNNNNNNNNNNNNNNNNNNNNNNNNNNNNNNNNNNNNNNNNNNNNNNNNNNNNNNNNNNNNNNNNNNNNNNNNNNNNNNNNNNNNNNNNNNNNNNNNNNNNNNNNNNNNNNNNNNNNNNNNNNNNNNNNNNNNNNNNNNNNNNNNNNNNNNNNNNNNNNNNNNNNNNNNNNNNNNNNNNNNNNNNNNNNNNNNNNNNNNNNNNNNNNNNNNNNNNNNNNNNNNNNNNNNNNNNNNNNNNNNNNNNNNNNNNNNNNNNNNNNNNNNNNNNNNNNNNNNNNNNNNNNNNNNNNNNNNNNNNNNNNNNNNNNNNNNNNNNNNNNNNNNNNNNNNNNNNNGGAAACGGACAAUGAGCACACCGAGGAAGUGAACGAAACCAGCCAGAAGCAGGGACUUCACCGAGAAUUGGGAAAGUGAACAUUGUCCAAAAAAAGUUGGUAAUGAGUUCCACGUCUUUUCUUGAAAUUAACAUGAAAAUAAUUUCAUGUAAAAAAAUAAAAUAACGACACUGCAAAUGACCUUGCACCUGUAGGAACUCAAAGAACAACAUGAAAGAUGUAAUGAUAAUCCUGAAUUUGCGCCACCUUACAAGAAUGCAAACAGAUGGGUGCCAAGCGCCAUUGAGGGCCGCCAAAUCUGGAGUUUGAUGGCGUGUUCGGCGCGCUGCCCUGGCCAAAUUCUUUCAACAGUAAUGGCUUCACCUUUGGUAAGCUACUUUGUAAGUCUGACAACCAGCAUAUCAGCGAUGGAGUCGUGUCGAGUUAUGGUGAAGAGGAGAUCCAUUAUUUAUUUUUUCUGGUGUUUGCUGCGGUGGUGCUGGAGGCAAGUAACAAGCGUUGGAUUCAAGCUCAAGGGUGCCAUCGGUCUUGAUUGUAAUUUUCUUUCUUGACGGUCCUUUGUGCAAGGGCUAGUUUUCAGAUGUCUUUUUACUAGUUUUGUCAGGUCGACAUCUUCGUGUGAUUUGUAUUUUGAUCAUUUUAUAUUAAUUAGACACAUACUACCAUAAAAAAUAUGAAACGAAACAAUUUUUUAAUUGGAAGCAGCAGAGAGUAGAGAAAUACUACAAGCCUUUGUUUUUUUAGAAAUAGUACAACCUGGACCUCGAGGACUGAGCAACAAUGGCUGCAAUUGCACAUUGGGCCUUUAACCCAUCGGUGCCAUCAUUCCUCCAUCGCAGGCCUUGGUAUAUGAUGGUGAUGUUUCUCAAAAAAAAAAAAAACAGUUCGCCCACCCUUAGGGUUCCACCAGAGAGGAAAGGGGAUCGGGUGUCAGUUAUGCGCCGCCGCCGCCUGCCGUGCGCCGAUCUCCCCCCUCUCGCCGUCGCAAUUGCCGUCGGAUGCCUCGAAUGAGGAUCCACUGCUGCUUGCGAAUAGGCGACCAAAUAAGCAGCUCCCCCUUUGGGAGCCGCACUCCCCAAUCGAAGCUCUUUAGGGAGCGACGAUCCGCAAUCAAGCGGCUCCUCUCCGAGCUGCAACCGGCAAUCAAAGCAAUCAAGCGGCUCCACUCCGAGCCGCAGUCCGCAAUCGAAGUAGCUCCCAUUUUUAGUGGCUAAUCCGGAAUCAAAGAAGUCCUUUCCGGAUUACAAUCAGAAACAGGCCCUCUUUCGAAUUCAGUCUCCGAGUUUCCAUUGGUGGCGGGGACCUAGCAGAUAGUAUAUAUAUCUGGCCGGGCGGACACCACGGUACCCGCCAAUUUUAAGAGGGGACGAGCAACUCUCUCUUCCCAGCGACCGGCUACCAGAUCGGCCUCGGCAAAUCCUCCCUCGACAUGACGGUGAGUUCGUCCUCCUGUUGUAGAUCCUCUUACAACUUCACCGCAGGAAAAAAAAAAUCAAGGAAUAAUAAAAAGUACUGUAGGAACCAUAAUCAUAAUUCAUGGUCAAAAUUUAACCUUUCUGGUGGCGAAAUGUCAAAAUUGCGUCAGUCUCUUGGAAAGUAUGAAAUUUUCCAACACUGUGGGUAAUUACAGAGAACUGUACUAUCAAAAUUGUGUGUUUCUGUGGGAAAGUAUGAAAUUUCUACAAUCAAAUUUGUGUCUUUCUGUGAGAAAGUAUAUAUUUUAUUUUUUGUCUGUGGAAAAUAUUAAAAUUGCACCUGUCUCAGUAAGUAAUCAGACUCUGAUUUGUUUCCAUAAUAAAAUGUAGGACAAUGAAGUUGAUAGGCUCAGCAAGUUGCCCGAUGACGUUUUGCUCAACAUUGUCGAGCGACUUGAUAUCACCGACGUCGCAAGAACCACCAUCCUAUCCAGGCGCUGGAAGCAGAUCCCUGCCAUGCUCUCAAAAAUUAUCAUAACGGUCGGUUCUUUUGAGCCCAAGCGCGGAAGAGGGACAAAAUUAACCUCACAUGAUAUAGCUCGGGCCAACACCACCGUGCGGGAAGCAACCAGGAGCAUACUAGAAUGCAGGACCGGAAGUCUACACACCAUUCACCUAAUGUCCAUGCAAUUCUAUCUGGGAGAUGACUCCAUCUUCAUUGGCCAGACUGUUGCCAACACCAUAGCAACACAAAAAGUUGCUUCGGUUGAGUUCGUAAUCUUAACCGAAGUGCGUACCAAUUGUUACGUCGAUGACCUGCUCAGUUAUGGGAAGCGGUUCAUGUUAUUCUUUGAUUCAUGUCCAAACGCAUUUGGUGGCCUUGCACGCCUCUGGCUAGAGAAUUUGAGGUUAGGCGAAUCAGACUUCCCCAAAAUUUUCAGUAUAUGCAAGCAACUAGAGUUCUUGCGCCUCUGGCGGUGUGACACGGGGGAUCUGUCUUUGCUGGAAGUGGAACACCUGCAACUCCGUGAACUUGUGAUUUCGGAUAGCAGUCUUGAGAGGGUUGAUCUCAAGUGGGUACCAAAGCUCACAGUACUGAAAUUUAAUGGGUUUUUAUCUCGAGAUGACCCUUUCUCUUUGGGCUAUGUCCCACAGCUCCAGACUGUGAGCAUCACUAAUGUUGGUCUUUCUUGGCACAAGAUGCUCAAGCUAAGUGAGUUGCUUGGUAAAACAGCCAUAAGCAACCUGCAUUUGAACUUCAGAUGUGAAAAGGUUAGUGAAGGUCUGCAACUAAUGUUAUCAGAAUGAUGUGUGUCAUGGAGAUGUUGUAGUCAUUAUUUUUGGCUAACAUAAUUCUGCAUUAUCCCCCUCUUUUGCAGAUUUGGGUCAAACCAGAAGGCCGGAAGCAAUUGUUACCGGUGUUCCGCAAACUAAGUUUUGUGAAUUUGUUCAACAUUUCCGAAGAAUGCGAUCUGAAUUGGACGAUGUUCAUACUCCAAGGCGCACCCACCCUUAAGGAACUGUGCAUUACGGUAAAUAAACUCUUGUACCGGUUCUUCAUCUCUCAUUUUUUAUUCCAGCACAUGUUGAAUAUGCAAAUCGAAUUCUCUUUUUCGAAGUUCAAACUUUCCAUGACCAGUUAGGAGUUUUUGACCUGAUUGAAUGCAGGUGCGGGAUCAUUUAUGUGAAAUGACAAAGGGGAAGCGGAGGUACAUGCAUGAGUUUAGCGAGGAGAAGGACAAAGGACUGGAGUGGGAACCAUCUGCCCUAGAUUUCAAUCAUCACAGCCUGGCUGAGCUCUGUAUCUAUGGUUUUCGGGCAGAAGACAAAUUUGUGAGGUAUGCCAGAAACAUCAUGGAGGCAGCGGUGAACCUGGUGGCUGUAAACCUGUAUAAGAAUCCAGGGUGUGAGAAAUGCAAGCGCAGGCUUCCAAGUGGGUGGACGUGGACGGAGAUGCUGUUGAUUAGAGACAAAAUCAGCAAGGGUAUGCCGUCAAAUGUUGGGAUUCGCUUCCCGAGUUGACAGGCGACAAUUAAUAUGGAUUGGAGGGAGUAUCAUCUCAAAAUACACAGGUUCAUUGUUGACGAUUAAUCAGUGCAUACAGCAGUAGCUUUGCAGCGCGAGUGCGUUGUUUUGUCUAAGAAAAAAAUUUGCUGUCAGCGACAAUUAAUAUGGAUCGGAGGGAGUACUAAGUUGUACAAUAAUAAGAGUAGCCUUAACAGUAGUGUCAAGUAUAUUUUUU
This 43109-nucleotide long non-coding RNA is filed under the name Triticum aestivum (bread wheat). RNAcentral describes it as "long non-coding RNA (TAES_LNC010977)". The stretch from base 686 to 800 matches the Rfam family "MIR1120/MIR1122 microRNA precursor family". Lineage: Eukaryota; Viridiplantae; Streptophyta; Magnoliopsida; Poales; Poaceae. The record is from RNAcentral.